Molecule: long non-coding RNA, 608 nt
Filed under: Callithrix jacchus (white-tufted-ear marmoset)
Lineage: Eukaryota; Metazoa; Chordata; Mammalia; Primates; Cebidae
Description: lncRNA (ENSCJAG00000074323.1)
Source: RNAcentral
AGCCAACUGUCAGAGACAGCCAAAAGAUAGGUUUUAUUUUUCCCCUUCGUACUGUGCUUGCUUAUAGUUACGCAUUUCUUAGAGAAGAGGGCAAAGAUCACUCUCUGUUGAUGGCUUGCUGUGAUCAUCCAGAAAUCUUCCAGAUGACCAAAUUAUAACUAUACAGAAAGGGAUAAGAAGAUGGAUACAAAUUGUGGCCUGUCAUGGUUUGGUGAAAAGAGCCUGCAAUGAACUAGAUGAUUCUACUGAGAAAUUUUCUACUAACUCAAUAAAUAUAAGGAAACUGGAUGAAGAAAGUCAAUGUCCUUCUGAGGCCUGUGCAUCAUCAACUUGUAACAGUGAUAUGGUUUGACUCUGUGUCCCCACCCAAAUCUCACCUUGAAUUGCAGUAAUCCCCUCAUGUCAAGGGUUGGACCGGGUGGAGAUAAUUGAAUCAUGAGACCAGUUUCCCCCAUGCUGUUUUGGUGAUAGUGAGUUGAGUUCUCACAAAAUCUGAUGGUUUUAUAGGAGCUUCCCCCUUUGUUGAGCACUUCUGCUGCCCUGUGAAGAGGUGCCUUUGCCAAUAUUGUAAGUUUCCUGAGGCCACCCCACCCAUGAGGAACUGUGAG